RNAcentral lists this ribosomal RNA (253 nucleotides) under uncultured bacterium. RNAcentral's name for it is "partial 16S ribosomal RNA". It matches the Rfam family "Bacterial small subunit ribosomal RNA", at positions 524 to 776 of the family's 1533-position model. The record is from RNAcentral.
UACGAAGGGUGCAAGCGUUAUUCGGAGUAACUGGGCGUAAAGAGCGCGUAGGUGGUUUUAUAAGUCACAUGUUAAAUUCCACAGCUUAACUGUGGGUGAGCGUGCGAUACUGUAAAGCUAGAGGGUAAGAGAGAGAAGUGGAAUUCUCGGAGUAGCGGUAAAAUGCGUAGAUCUCGAGAGGAACACCGGUAGCGAAGGCGGCUUCUUGGCUUAUCCCUGACACUGAGGCGCGAAAGCGUGGGUAGCAAACAGG